CCUAUUAUUAGUAACUCUGCUAGACUCGUCCUGACGAUCUUCCAUUUCAGAUGCUCCGAUCUUGAUGUGGCGGUGUUUAACGAGGAGCCAGCGCAGGAGUUUGUCUUCCUUGUUGAGGUAGUGAAGCUCCUUGUUCAUGUUUGGUGUCGCCAUGAAGCAGGUUUUAUUCCCUUGAAAACCAACAAGAACCAAGAUUAGGUUAAGAUCUUGUUCAAUGAACUUAAUGGCUUUUGUAGUUAAAACUCACCGAUGAGACCUUCUUGUAUAUCUGAGCAGAGUUUUUGCAUUCACAGUAUGGGUACUCAAACGUCACCAUCUCCAACAUACACAUCCCAAAUGAAUAGAUAUCAGCUAGCUCGGUGUAGUCCUCAUCGUAAAGCUCAGGUGCCAUGAACUCUGGGGUUCCUGCUUGGUAACAUAGUAAACACUUGAAUGUUUUUGUUAAAAGCAGAAAGUGAGCAAUGUGAAGAAAACUAUACCAAUGACACUUUUGGCGUUAGCUUGCUCCAUGACAGUGGCUAGACCAAGAUCACCUAUCUUCACUUCUCCAUGGUUUCCAUUGAUAAAGAUGUUAUCACAUUUGAGAUCCCGGUGGAUAAUGGGUGGCACUUGAGUGUGAAGAUAUCUCAAACCCAUUAGAAUCUGUCUCGCCCAACACUUGACCGCCUUCAUGUUCACCUUUCUAUGUUUCUUGCGGUAACUAAGACCAAAAAAGAUUGUAAUUAAACUCCACAAUGACAGAAAAAUAAAUAAAGAGAAGACAAGUUUUGGGUGAGAGAUGCAUACUUUCUGAGACUCCCUGAAGUGAAAAGCUCAGUUAUGAUGUUAACUGUCUUGUUCUUAUCAUCGAUCCAUGAGUUAUAGAACCUGAUGAUAUUACUGUGCUUCAAUGAUUUCAAAAGACGCACUUCAGAGUAUAGCCUCUCCAGGGAGUUUGGUGACUGCAAAACAUCAUCUAUUCGUACUUGGUUCCACGCUACUUCAAUCCCAUCUACUUCAUCGAAGGCCUUGUAACUGAUAUCUUUAGAGUUAAGGUUACAAACCGAGAAAAGAUGCCAAGAACACAGACAACAAAACAACAAGAGAGCUUCUGAUUACAAAGAACACUCUCAGACUAUGAAUGUAAGUAACGAUAUGAACCAAGAAAAAGGAUACACAGUCUUGAAUGCGCCUUUUCCGAUAACCUCUUUAUACUGAAAGGUGGAUAACAACAUAAAAGAUAAAUUACCACACACUAUAACUCAAAUUAAACAUUUGAAAAAGCAAAUCAAGCCAAAGAGACGUUGGAUCUUGAUCCCCCUCUACGCUCCAUUUGAAAGUUUAAAGAAUAGCAUUCUAGGGAUGUUCCUCAUACCCGUAUAUAUCGAUUUGUUGGAUCAACUUCGAGCACCUCCGGGUCAGGAGGCUCUUGAAGAACCGCACCAUCCUCUGAACCAUCCAUAUUUUCCUAAACCUUAUAAAAGUUUUCACCUGCAAGGCUCACAGCAGAAACAAUCCCAAAACACAAACCGAAUCUUUAAAAGAUCCUUAGAUUCUUUUCAAGUGCAACACUUUUCAAUGAAAGAAUAUUCAAAGACAACAAGAUAACAUCCAUACGCUAGUAUACAACAUUGCUUAAAUCCAACUUCUCAUCCUUUUAAUUGAAAUAAGCUCAGAUCAACAACAAAACGGAAGAAAAAUAAUAAAGUUUAGACGUCAAAAGUUUAGGAUCCUGUAGUCCAAACAAUUACCAUGAAUCAUUCUAAGAAUGUAAAAAGAAAACCCCACAUGAGCAAAUCGAGAGAGAUAUGUCCCAUUCACGUUCAUGCAUACAAAUCAUACCAGGAAAAAUCAUAUAUCGCAAGAGUUAUAUGAUUUUGAGCCUCGAAGUUACCUAAGAGGGAUGAAGCUUUUGUUCUGGUCUCCAAAAAAAUCGCCAACGUGAGAUAGAAUACGGACGAGAGAGACUACAAUGAGAGGAAACCCUAAUUGAGAAAGCCGAUGGACGACGAAGAUGCAACAAGUGUUUUGUUCAUGUUUAUCACCAACGAUCACCUCUAUUUUUAAAAAUAAAAAAUAAAAAUAACGAAAAAAAUCAAGUUCUAAAAACAGAGACACGCUCUGCCCAUGCAAAGAUGACGUGUCAAUACAUGUGGGGUUUAUCAGCCAAUAACCAUAAGACAAAGAUGAAGGACACUCUCUGUGGUCUGAGAGUAAACGACUUCUUGCUUCUCCUCAUCGCCUUAAGCCUAAGAUAUCGUCUUCUUCUUCGUCCGUCGAGGAUUCAUCAUACAAGCUCCUAUUAUUAGUAACUCUGCUAGACUCGUCCUGACGAUCUUCCAUUUCAGAUGCUCCGAUCUUGAUGUGGCGGUGUUUAACGAGGAGCCAGCGCAGGAGUUUGUCUUCCUUGUUGAGGUAGUGAAGCUCCUUGUUCAUGUUUGGUGUCGCCAUCAUUGUUAUCUGCAUCAGUUGUCCCUGCGCCAUUCACCCAAUAUAUCAAUUAUACAUAAAAUGGUACUAACUAAGCAAACCCGUGAAGAAGAAGCUAAUAAAGAUAAGUGUUCAGGCUUCAAUAAUUCAACUCAAAGGCUCAACAAAGCUAGUUUCUCUAACUAAUCAGAAAGAUGCUUAGCCAACCUAAAACCCUAAAAUCUACAACUGAAUCGGAAUGCGAAACCCUAAUCUACUACGGAUUCAAUUAAUCACCGAUUCAACAAGGGCAAAAAAAAUUGAAUCAAUUUGC
Molecule: long non-coding RNA, 2722 nt
Filed under: Brassica napus (rape)
Lineage: Eukaryota; Viridiplantae; Streptophyta; Magnoliopsida; Brassicales; Brassicaceae
Description: long non-coding RNA (BNAP_LNC013549)
Source: RNAcentral